UUGAACGCUGGCGGCAUGCCUUACACAUGCAAGUCGAACGGCAGCGCGGGAGCAAUCCUGGCGGCGAGUGGCGAACGGGUGAGUAAUACAUCGGAACGUGCCCAAUCGUGGGGGAUAACGCAGCGAAAGCUGUGCUAAUACCGCAUAAGAUCUAUGGAUGAAAGCAGGGGACCGCAAGGCCUUGCGCGAAUGGAGCGGCCGAUGGCAGAUUAGGUAGUUGGUGAGGUAAAGGCUCACCAAGCCUUCGAUCUGUAGCUG
Molecule: ribosomal RNA, 258 nt
Filed under: Variovorax sp. ISO802_OTU223
Lineage: Bacteria; Pseudomonadati; Pseudomonadota; Betaproteobacteria; Burkholderiales; Comamonadaceae
Description: partial 16S ribosomal RNA
Rfam family: Bacterial small subunit ribosomal RNA
Source: RNAcentral